GUGCCAGCAGCCGCGGUAAUACGGAGGGUGCGAGCGUUAAUCGGAAUUACUGGGCGUAAAGCGCGCGUAGGUGGCUUGGCACGCCGGUUGUGAAAGCCCCGGGCUCAACCUGGGAACGGCAUCCGGAACGGCCAGGCUAGAGUGCAGGAGAGGAAGGUAGAAUUCCCGGUGUAGCGGUGAAAUGCGUAGAGAUCGGGAGGAAUACCAGUGGCGAAGGCGGCCUUCUGGACUGACACUGACACUGAGGUGCGAAAGCGUGGGUAGCAAACAGGAUUAGAUACCCUGGUAGUCC
RNAcentral lists this ribosomal RNA (292 nucleotides) under uncultured microorganism. Its description in RNAcentral is "partial 16S ribosomal RNA". It matches the Rfam family "Bacterial small subunit ribosomal RNA", at positions 505 to 796 of the family's 1533-position model. The record is from RNAcentral.